Molecule: ribosomal RNA, 158 nt
Filed under: Candidatus Sungbacteria bacterium RIFCSPHIGHO2_02_FULL_41_12b
Lineage: Bacteria; Candidatus Sungiibacteriota
Description: partial 23S ribosomal RNA
Rfam family: Bacterial large subunit ribosomal RNA
Source: RNAcentral
GAAGUCGUCCUUUGUACGAGAGGAUCAGGAUGAACGAACCUCUGGUCUAUCGGCUGUCACGCCCGUGGCACUGCCGAGUUGCUAUGUUCGGAAGGGAUAACCGCUGAAAGCAUCUAAGCGGGAAGCCCCUCCCAAGAUUAGGUAUCUCGCCCUCCCAA